UGGGGAAUUUUGGACAAUGGGGGAAACCCUGAUCCAGCCAUCCCGCGUGUGCGAUGAAGGCCUUCGGGUUGUAAAGCACUUUUGGCAGGAAAGAAACGUCAUGGGUUAAUACCCCGUGAAACUGACGGUACCUGCAGAAUAAGCACCGGCUAACUACGUGCCAGCAGCCGCGGUAAUACGUAGGGUGCAAGCGUUAAUCGGAAUUACUGGGCGUAAAGCGUGCGCAGGCGGUUCGGAAAGAAAGAUGUGAAAUCCCAGAGCUCAACUUUGGAACUGCAUUUUUAACUACCGGGCUAGAGUGUGUCAGAGGGAGGUGGAAUUCCGCGUGUAGCAGUGAAAGGCGUAGAUAUGCGGAGGAAAACCGAUGGCGAAGGCAGCCUCCUGGGAUAACACUGACGCUCAUGCACGAAAGCGUGGGGAGCAAACAGG
This 429-nucleotide ribosomal RNA is filed under the name Acidobacteriota bacterium. RNAcentral describes it as "Acidobacteria bacterium partial 16S ribosomal RNA". It matches the Rfam family "Bacterial small subunit ribosomal RNA", at positions 355 to 776 of the family's 1533-position model. Lineage: Bacteria; Pseudomonadati; Acidobacteriota. The record is from RNAcentral.